GCUUUCCUUCCCAUCUGACAUGCACUCCACAAGACUGUAAAACGCAGCUCUAGAGCUCAAAGCGUGGCAGCCUGGGCCAACAUCCCCAAGAUUUGUUGUAGUGCAAUGGGGUGUCUUCUCUAGGUGCGAAGGGGAGGAGGCCAUGCAGUAGGGUUUUUGGCUCUCCCAAUCUCAAGCUUUGGAUGAAAAGCUACUGACAGAAGUAUGAAGAUGGAACAAGCAACAAUUAUGGGAAGGCCCUACCAUGGCUAGUGGGAAGGUGCUGGUAGUGGGAGCUACAGAUAGCAAUAAGCAAUAACCAAUACUGCACAAAACAAAGGAAGAAAGUCCUAACAUUUGCCAUCAAGAUCUGAUCUCUGCAAAUCAGCAGAAGGUACCUGGUUUUCCAAGUUGUUUGUAAGCCUGUUCAUUGUUAGCAUGACCCGUGGUACCGUAAGUGCCUGUCACAGAUCAGAACAGCAAUUACACUGAUGACUGUACAAGCACCAAAUAGAAAGAGGAUCGAGGGCUCCAAACACAUGAAGGUCACAAAGGCACUAGCAUCCUUCUGUCCUAAGGAAAUUAACCCUCCAAACACUGCUUUCUAUCACAUUGUUUUUUGCUGUUCUUGUUAAAAUUUUUUUCAGUGUAAAGUGACAAAUGCUCUCAAAUUAUUCGUUUGGCUUAAGAGAAGCAAUCAGGAGAUAGAGAUACUUUUGUAAUUCUUAACAGAUACCUGUGUUUUACCUAGGGAAAUCAGUUAGUGUCAUUCUUCCACAUCCUUUCAGAAGUGGUGUAAUAUUUGACUCUCAUUUUCCAGGUAGCGAACUGUGGCACAGAGAUGUGAUGUCCCAGCUCCUUCAGGGAACUGGUUUCAAUGAAAGCAUGAAUUUCAAUGAUUUUCCAGGGCUGUGGGAAGUAACAAACUACAGCUUCCCAAAUUCUCAGUUAAUAAUGUCCUACCCAAGAUAGUCUGCUUCCUUUACCCACUGGCAUUUUUUCAACAGAAAAAGAAAGAAAAUAGUAAUGAAUUAAGCUGCCACAGCUCAGUCCAGGAAGAAAGAUUUUCCAUCAGAUAAAAGGAAUGUCUUUAGUCUCUUUGUCGGGGCCUGCCAACUGAUCUACAAUUGGAAGAAAAAUUUUUCAUGUACCAAACUAUUUUCUCACUAAUCUUAUUUUAAGGAAAGUAACAUAAUGAGGAUUUAUUUGGGGCUCUUGUUUUGUUUUUCUUAAAGCCAGACAGAAAAGGAAAUCUGGUAUUUGCUUUAUUUCUACUUUAGUGCUUUAUCUGACAGCUUGACAUGAGAGCAGACAUGAGAGUAUAGCUCAUUCAUCUAAGAUCCUAUAGGAUCAAAAAGCAGUGUUAUUUUCCAAAUUAUUGCAGUCUUAUUGACUAGUAUUUUUAUGUAUUUCUAAAGGAUUUUUAUAUUUGACUUAUUUUGUUGUUUUCCAAGUUGUUUAAUAAAACUUUGAAAAGUGAAUCCUC
Gallus gallus (chicken) is the source of this 1465-nucleotide long non-coding RNA. NCBI's taxonomy places the organism in Eukaryota, Metazoa, Chordata, Aves, Galliformes, Phasianidae. The record is from Ensembl.